UAAGCAUCAAGUUACAACAUAAACUCCCUCUUGGAGAGAAAAAAAAAAAAAAAGAAACCCAACCUUGCAACAUCUCUACCAAGUGCAACGAAAAAACACAAAUUGACAAUUUCCUUUUCUGAUGGUAAGGGAAGGCUGUCAUGAAUGCAUGAAAGUUGGUUUUGACGAUGCAAAUAACAUUGCCUCUUUCUCUUCCUAUUUCAGCAAAUUCAAUUGAAAAGAGUUCUACCACACAGAUAGGCCUGAAUUUAACUCAAGGGGAUAUUUAUCUAUCCGUCCUGCAAAAAAGAAACUGAAUUCUUUUAGAUAACACGCAGCUUUCAAUUUUUUCCAAAAAAUUAUAAUACACCCACCAAUGUCUUUUUUUUUUUAUUUUUUUCCCCCUUUUCAUUUUCAGAGCAAAGAGAAGGAACUGAAGAUUUUUCUUCAAAGACCAACUCAUUUCACUAGGAAUGAAAAACAUAUCACAUACUCAGAAGCAACAUAUUCCCCUCAAAAUUAUAGAACAAUAAAUCUAUAGUGCAUCACAGAAGCAACCAUUUGGCAUGUUCAGUAGGAAUUAAUGAUAACCAUGGGUCAUCAAAUAGCAAGACAAAGCCAUAUGGGAAUUAAAGAAAAGGCACAACAAGGUAGGAAUCAACCCUUAUGAUUCAUGCUCAAACACCGUCAAUUUAACUAGAGGUCACUUCUCAAUUAUGUGCCCCCAUUAAGCCAGAAUAACAAGUGUUCCUUUUAUGAACAAAAUAACACAAAAAGAAUGUCUCAAGUUAAAAGCAUUCGACAAACAAGGAACAAAUUGACAAUAUUUGAUAGGGAAAAUGAUAAACUUUCAAGCAUUGAAAAGGAAAUGAAAAUGCUAUCCACUACAGCUAAAAGUUAAUUUCACAUGCAAGGCAUUGGAGAUACUAUUCCCUGCAUUGUAUCAAGUCAACUUACAAAAUUUAAUAUCCCAAAGAACAUGAUCACCGUACGGUUUCAGAAGCAGCUCUCAGUUCUCCAAUACAAUCGUCAUGGAAAUAUGCAUUUAACAUUUUUCACCAGUCUUGCAUGUAGCACUUUCAAAUGUCACACUUCUUCCACCAGGAUGACAAAGCUUCUACUCCACAGCUAUGACGUGAGGAGGGCCAAUCCACAAAGAAGUUAAAAAAUGAUUAACUGAAUACAUGUAAUAUGUGCGCCUAUGCAUGUAUGUGCACCCAUGAGCCAUGCAUAGCCUACCGUGCAAUUUUUACAUCCUAGUCCAACAAAAAAGCUACUCUAGUAAUAAAUUGAGUGCAUUUGAACAUAGAAAAUAUCUGAGCAGCAAGAGGAUUCAUCAAAUAGUUCCUUUUCCAUCAGACAAAAAUUUAGAAUUGGAAAAGCUCGCAAACCUGCUUCAUGAGUAAGCUGACACACACGUACUACAAGUGAUGACCUAACUGCAUUAUUAGUGCCAGCCAAAAGAA
This 1445-nucleotide unclassified non-coding RNA is filed under the name Hevea brasiliensis (rubber tree). The record is from RNAcentral. Lineage: Eukaryota; Viridiplantae; Streptophyta; Magnoliopsida; Malpighiales; Euphorbiaceae.